This 500-nucleotide ribosomal RNA is filed under the name uncultured bacterium. RNAcentral's name for it is "partial 16S ribosomal RNA". It matches the Rfam family "Bacterial small subunit ribosomal RNA", at positions 29 to 523 of the family's 1533-position model. The record is from RNAcentral.
AUUGAACGCUGGCGGCAUGCCUUACACAUGCAAGUCGAACGGCAGCACGGGAGCAAUCCUGGUGGCGAGUGGCGAACGGGUGAGUAAAGUAUCGGAACGUGCCCAGUCGUGGGGGAUAACGUAGCGAAAGUUACGCUAAUACCGCAUACGAUCUACGGAUGAAAGCGGGGGAUCGCAAGACCUCGCGCGAUUGGAGCGGCUGAUAUCGGAUAAGGUAGUUGGUGGGGGAAAGGCUCACCAAGCCGACGAUCGGUAGCUGGGCUGAGCGGACGACCAGCCACACUGGGACUGAGACACGGCCAAGACUCCUGCGAGAGGCAGCAGUGGGGAAUUGUGGACAAUGGGCGCAAGCCUGAUCCAGCCAGGCCGCGUGCAGGAUGAAGGCCUUCGGGUUGUAAACUGCUUUUGUACGGAACGAAAAGGUUUGGCCUAAUAAGCUGGACCCAUGACGGUACCGUAAGAAUAAGCACCGGCUAACUACGUGCCAGCCGCCGCAGUAA